GCUUACUCCAAAAUCGGCAAUCUUCACUUCCAUAUUUUUGUUCACGAGAAGAUUUGCUGGUUUGAUAUCUCUAUGAAUGAUCUUGUGGGCAUGGAGGUAGUUAAGUCCGUUGAGAAUCUGACGAGCGAUGUCGGCGAGUGACUUUUCCGUGAAUGUUCCACUCCCACCGUUUUUCAGUAGCGAGUCUAGUGUCCCGGCGUCCAUGUAUUCCAUCAGUAUCGCAAUAUCCCCGUCAGGCUUCUCGAAUAUCUCAUGACAGUGAACCACAAAAGGUGAAUCGGUUCUUCGAAGAAUUUCCAUCUCCCUAAAUAUCUGCCGGCGCAUCAUCGGAUCACUGUCGGCAUGUACAACCUUGAGAGCGAAGACGUUAGACGUUUUCUUAUGC
Molecule: long non-coding RNA, 385 nt
Filed under: Lactuca sativa (garden lettuce)
Lineage: Eukaryota; Viridiplantae; Streptophyta; Magnoliopsida; Asterales; Asteraceae
Description: long non-coding RNA (LSAT_LNC007787)
Source: RNAcentral